Non-coding RNA from Pocillopora verrucosa, 937 nucleotides. NCBI's taxonomy places the organism in Eukaryota, Metazoa, Cnidaria, Anthozoa, Scleractinia, Pocilloporidae. The record is from RefSeq and is a predicted model, not a curated record.
AUGGCGGCUUACGGCGGCGAAGGAAAUCUCAGUAGUUUAAUAUUUAGCGUGAAAAGGCUUGGGUGUUGUGAUCUGGUUCUCAAGUAAAAAAAAAAUCACGGUCUGCAAUGGCCCUACCACCUUUUGAACAACAAGAAAACAUUGAAACGGUGGUAAAAAGCAGCAAGUUUCGAAGUCUAAACGAAAGAUGGGUGGUCAUUAUCCAUUACUUUUGGAAGUCGAUGCUGAUGAGAAAGAAAAAAUGUUUAUGAUUAUUUCUUCUCUCGAACAUUUUACUAUUUAGGUACCAAAUAAUCUUGAUACUGAAGACCAUUGCAUCCUAUUAUGAAAAAUUUACCCCUGAUUGCUUUGUCAACAUGUAUGAUGUAAUAUACCUUGAGAUUUGUGGGAUUUUCACAUGUAAACUAGAAAUACCUGUGGAGGGUAAUGAUGUACUUAAUGCAAAGUGUUUUGGUACAAAGUCUGCUUUGCUGUAAUCUACCUGAAGGUGCUUUUUAUAUGCUAGUAACACUUGCACAGCCCAGUCAAAAUGUUCUUUAGUAGUAGACAAGCUGGCUGUUGUAAUUAUAGGCAGCAGAGGCCAAACCUCAUCCUGAAAAGCAGUCUGAAAGGUGUGAAGUCAGUGGAAGAUACUUCAUCGUAGGUGGCCAAAUUGCAGGCUGUCAGCCCAUUUUGAGUGUUAAACAGGUCAAAGUACCGAAAAAAACCUCUGUGAUAACUUGGUAGUCUAAGAUGUAAAAAUUUUUAAUAAUAAGGUAAAGCUUGAUCAUUCUUAAGAGUUUGCAUCUGUUCUAAAAGUUUUGGGGAGAGUUAGGGGAGCAUUAUUUAUACAAAUGUAUUUAAAAAGUAACAAAAAAAUAAAAAGAACUAGGGCAAAAUCCCAAUUUGCUUUAAAAGUUUAUUUUAUUAAGAGCAUAAUUCUGGAUAUAGCUUGGGA